RNAcentral lists this ribosomal RNA (406 nucleotides) under uncultured fungus. RNAcentral's name for it is "eukaryotic LSU rRNA". Lineage: Eukaryota; Fungi. The record is from RNAcentral.
AGAGUUAAACAGUGCGUGAAAUUGUUGAAAGGGAAACGUUUGACACCAGCUAUGUAGGCGGAAAAUCAGUCAAGCGCAGUGAGGGGCUGGUGUUUGUCCGGACCGCAAGGCCGGCGGAUAUCUCAUCUUUGCUGUGGGUGAUGCACUUUUUCGUUCGCAGGUCAACAUCAGUUUCGCUUGCUGGACAAAACCCCGAGAGAAGGUAGCAGCUUUGGCUGUGUUAUAGCUCUGGGGCGAUACAGUGGGUGGGACUGAGGAUUCGCAGUGUGUGCUCUCGGGCAAGGCUGACUGGGUGCUCUGGGGUUGUUUGGCGUACAAUGCAUGCAUUUUGCGUCUUGUCUUCUUCAGACUCGCUUAGUUCGGCUCUUCCACGCUUAGGAUGUUGACUUAAUGGUUUUAAACGACC